ACUUCUGUCCAUAUAAUGAAUUUAAUUUACCUCCCCUGCUCUGAUGCAUUUGUUUGGAAGGAGAGUGCGGCCAGCCAACGAGACCGUGAAGAAAGGCUGCGGAUCGUGAAAGAAAGGCAGAAUGAAGAACGACAAAAGAAACUUGAAGAACUCAAGCAGCAGGCUCUGGCCGCCCAGAAGUUCCGGGAGCAGAAGGAGGAGGAGAGGCGGCGACGGAUGGAAGAGCUGCGACUGCGGGACUCUGACCGGCGGUUGCAGGUUGAGGAGCGAAAACGCCAAAUCUGGGAGGCAGAGCGGGAUCGGCGUGAGGCAAUCCUAAGAAAAAACCAAGAGCGUGAAGCGAGGAUAGAAACCAAAAGGAGAAAUGAACGUAGUUCUAUUGUGUUUGCAUUUGGCAGUUCUACACCGAGGAUGCUGGAACCUGCAGAUACUGGUGGAUCGUACUGGGCAACUAGAAGGGCAACAUCAACCAGUAACGUGAUGAUGCUGUCCAUGUCAGCUGCCCCAGGACCUCUGACAAGGCGCAGUUCAGAGCGAGAACUUGAUGGAAGCAAGAAACGUGCUACAUCCGCUGGAGGCAUCAACCGGACUAAGCAGCCAGAUGGACGCACCAGUAUAUAUGAUGUAUUUCAGUGGGACAGCACUGUAGCAGGGGGGUCCACCCCUCUGUCCCCUGUUGUCCCCCCCUCCUUAUCCCUCGGCGGGGAUGAAGGUGAUGGGGAGGAGAGUGGAACAGUCACACCAGUACCGACCGCCGGAACACCGUCCAGCCGUGCUGCCCGGCGCAAGACUGACCUAGUACCCACGCUGCCAUCUCCGCGUGACCUCACCCCCCGCCCUAUGCGCUCCCCAGGUAGAGCUUACUCCAUGUCGCGUCUAGACGUACUGGCUCAGCCACGCAAACCCCGUGCUCCCGUGGUGGAGGAGCCGCGUGACCCCUCACUGUCCCGCAGUAUGACGCAUCUGGCCGCUAGGCCACUGCGUCGGGUCGACAUGUCCCGCAGCUUGGUGCACCUAUCAGGGCAGCCUGUACCUCCACCACGCGCCACUCGUGCCGAGCGGCUGCGGCGCAAGGCUGCAGCAGUGCGCGCCGAGUCGGUGCCCACCUCACCAGGGCUGCGGUCAGGUGAGGUGACACCGUCUCGGCCACAGAGCUCACUCAGCCAGCACAGUGUGAGUGUGUGUAGUGGGGCGGCCAUGUCCAGCAGUGUACACGCCGCCUUCAAGCCCCGGGCCGCCCCCCGUCGUCCCCGCCCCUACAGCAUCGCAGUCACCGGUGUCUCCUCGGAGAGUAGCGCCGCCACUACACCCACUAGACACAGUUUAAGUGCCGAGCACCGUAAUGCCAAAUCUCCGGCUACAGCUCCGGACAAAGACAAACCACCUCUGCCUAAAGUUCAUGCUACAAAGAAACCGGCCACUCCUAAACCAGAAGCACCCAAGAAGCCAACAGACAAGAUUAAAUCAUCAAAGAGUUCCGCAAGCCCGACACCGAAAGCCACACCGUUACAAUCGCCUGGGCCAGAGUCUACGAUUGUGUCAGAGACUGUGGUGACCACCUCAGAAUCGGAGACUGCAGGAAGCACUGUCACGUCAGAAACAACAGUGAGCACCUCGGUCGUAGAGACUGUCAACUCAGACAGUGGCGAGAGUGUAACUGUCACUACGGAGUCGACAGUGGGUGUGACAGUGGUGGAGACAAGUGUGCCCCAGCCCACCCCCACCAGUGCCCCACCACAGACUCAAGAAGUGGAGGCUCCUGUCGCCCAACUGGACACAAUACCCCAGGAGCCUGCUACCGACUUGGCCGAGUGUGACAUGACAGCCUCAAUGUUAGCUAAGACCAGAAUCACAACGGAGGAGGAGGCUAAGGCUGCUCUGGCCGAGAGGCGGAGGUUAGCCCGAGAGCAGGCAGAGAGAGAGGCAGAACUCGAAAGACAAAGACUUGAGGCUGAAAGAUUAGCAGAAGAACAGCGACUGAGGGAAGAAGAAGAGGAACAGAAGAGGAUGGAGGAGGAGCAGCUCAGGCUGCUAGAAGAGGCGAGACAGGCAGAGCAGGAACGGCUGAGACAGGCGAUUGAGGAAGCACAAAAAAGAGAAGAAGAAGAAAGGCUGCAACGAGAAGAAGAAGCAAGGCAAAAGGUUGAAAAAGAAGAGGCGGAAAGGAAAGCGAGAGAAGAAGCAGAAAAGCAACGACAAGAAAUGGAGAUUAGAUUAAAGAAAGAGGAAGAAGACAGGUUAGCGAGACGCAAGAGAGUAGAAGCAAUCAUGUCACGUACAAGGGGCAAGGGCUCUACGCCUAAUAGUACACCAUCUAAGGAAGAUGGAGAUGACAGUCCGGGAGAGGAGGGGAGCAGACCAGAGCCCCGGAGGCUCACGGACCAGGAGCAGUUCCUACAUUCUGAGCGGAGCCACUCAGCCGCCAACACCACCACUGCCCGCCAGAACGGCCAUCAGAACGGUGUUGACAAUGUUGUAUGAUGAGUGGCUCACGUCCCUCGGCCCGGCCCGGGCACCAAGACAGCACACAUAGUGGAGCAGAAGAAUGUAACUAACAACUUGCUGGACCUGAGUAUAGAGAGUGUUGGGGUGACUGAGACACAGAUCCUGGCUCCCACCACCACUACGCCGACCAACGGCAAGCUGGUGAAUGAGGACAAUGUUAACUUC
RNAcentral lists this unclassified non-coding RNA (2670 nucleotides) under Homalodisca vitripennis (glassy-winged sharpshooter). Its description in RNAcentral is "ensconsin, transcript variant X1". Lineage: Eukaryota; Metazoa; Arthropoda; Insecta; Hemiptera; Cicadellidae. The record is from RNAcentral.